This 275-nucleotide long non-coding RNA is filed under the name Homo sapiens (human). RNAcentral describes it as "OCIAD1 antisense RNA 1 (OCIAD1-AS1)". Lineage: Eukaryota; Metazoa; Chordata; Mammalia; Primates; Hominidae. The record is from RNAcentral.
GGGCUGUAAAUACUACUAUAAGAAGAAAAUACUACUACAUUUUACAGACUGAAAGUUUUUCAGGGACAAGAACCAAGUGUUAUUCAUCUUCUUCCACGUCUAGCAGAGUCCUUGACACCUACUGGUCCUCAAGAAAAGUUGAAUGAAUGAAGAAACAAAUGAACAAACAUGCUGAGUUUAGGUUGAUGAUUGAUGGUAGAACACACAGGUGAUAUCCAGCAGAAAAGGUCAUCAAAUAAAGUUUAUACAUACGUUGGACCAUAAAAAAAAAAAAA